RNAcentral lists this small RNA (664 nucleotides) under Malus domestica (apple). Its description in RNAcentral is "sRNA MD01G0081000". The record is from RNAcentral. Lineage: Eukaryota; Viridiplantae; Streptophyta; Magnoliopsida; Rosales; Rosaceae.
AUGUGUGUGUGUGUGUGUGUGUGUGUCAAUACAUAUACAUAUACAUAUACAUACAUACAUACAUACAUAUAUAUAUAUAUAUAUAUUUUUUUUGCAGUAAUAAGAUGGAUUUCCGGAUUCAUAAACAUGUGCUAUUACCUGAAGAGCUGAGCUUCUAGGCCUAUUUCACCAUUAGUUAUCACCUUCAAGACUACCGGAUCUGGCAGCAUGCCACCAGCAAAUACCUAUUAAUUAGCAUAGCUGGUCGAUAGUACUCCAAAUACCAUGCACGCACAUAUAAAGCCAGGCAAUGCACGACAGAGUCCCCGACAUGCAAAACAAGACAAACGUAGAGUCGCAGAGGCUGGAACUCUCUUUUGGUAGAAAGCCUCUGCUGGAACUCAGAACUCAGAAGAGCAAAAGAUAAUUAUUCGUCUCUGUAUAUAUAAUAUACAAUAUCUGUGCAUGUCUUGUUUUCCCCAUAGACAAUUGUACGACAGACACACAUACAGUACGUAUUCAAAGAAGCAUCUUCAUGGAGGAAUGAAAAUUGAUGAUGUUCUAGAUUAAAUUGCGAUUAUUUUUUUAUUGAAUAUUGUCAAAGAUUAUUUGGCUUCAACAAUGGAAGAAUGGCAUAGUUUGUAACUUCAGAAUUUAUUCUAUGUAAUUUUACUAACGCUUGCCU